RNAcentral lists this ribosomal RNA (292 nucleotides) under uncultured bacterium. RNAcentral's name for it is "partial 16S ribosomal RNA". It matches the Rfam family "Bacterial small subunit ribosomal RNA", at positions 505 to 796 of the family's 1533-position model. The record is from RNAcentral.
GUGCCAGCCGCCGCGGUAAUACGGAGGGUGCAAGCGUUGUCCGGAAUUAUUGGGUUUAAAGGGUGCGUAGGCGGCUUAUUAAGUCAGAGGUGAAAUCCCACAGCUUAACUGUGGAACUGCCUUUGAUACUGGUUAGCUUGAGUAUAGUAGAGGUAGGCGGAAUUGAAGGUGUAGCGGUGAAAUGCAUAGAUAUCUUCAAGAACACCAAUUGCGUAGGCAGCUUACUGGACUAUAACUGACGCUGAGGCACGAAAGCAUGGGGAGCGAACAGGAUUAGAAACCCUAGUAGUCC